CCUACGGGAGGCAGCAGUAGGGAAUAUUUCUCAAUGGGGGAAACCCUGAAGCAGCAACGCCGCGUGGAGGAUGAAGGUUUUAGGAUUGUUAACUCCUUUUGUUAGAGAAGCUUAUGACGGUAUUUAACGAAUAAGCAUCGGCUAACUCCGGGUCAGUAGCCGCGGGAAUACGGAGGGUGCAAGCGUUACGCGGAAUCACUGGGCGUAAAGAGUGCGCAGGCGGGGUAAUAAGUCAGGUGGGAAAUCCUGUAGCUUAACUACAGAACUGCAUGUGAAACUGUUACUCUGGAGUGUGGGAGAGGUAGGUGGAAUUCUUGGUGUAGGAGUGAAAUCCGUAGAGAUCAAGAGGAAUACUCAUUGCGAAGGCGAGCUGCUGGAACAUUACUGACGCUGAUGCACGAAAGCGUGGGGAGCGAACAGGAUUAGAUACCCGGGUAGUC
Molecule: ribosomal RNA, 440 nt
Filed under: uncultured bacterium
Lineage: Bacteria
Description: partial 16S ribosomal RNA
Rfam family: Bacterial small subunit ribosomal RNA
Source: RNAcentral